UGAUUAGCAUAAUUAAAAAAUAAACACAAACUUUAUUUAGCUUCCCAUACUCUCGCACGGAAUCAAUCGACCUCUGACCCGGAAAAGUAUCCCACAAACAAUAACAAAGUAUGGCCAGACUCUAAAAGAGAAGAGAAAACAGCAAUAAUAUAAAUCUGACCUUUUCGUUUUGGAAGUACGACAACUACUUGUGGUCGUUUACCCGAAAGGAUGAGGAUCACAUUAAAAUGUCUACUGCGCCCUGCUAAGCUCUCUGGUGUUGCUGUGGCUAAACGUGAACCCGGGGGGAACCGGCCCUGUUGGCGAAGGAGAAAGUGGUAAUUGGCAGAUCUAUGCCCAACCUGGAGACAUGAUCUACGGCCAGCCAAACAGAUGUUCAAACAUGGAAGAAAUGGGCAGAGAGAAGAUGCAUCAAGCUGGUCUAUUUUUUCAGCUUUGUUAGGUUACCACUUUGUAUGGGUCCUUUAUUUUUUUUCAUUUUAAGUUUAUUUGACGGGGAAAAUGCACAAUAUAUA
Long non-coding RNA from Gadus chalcogrammus (walleye pollock), 515 nucleotides. RefSeq lists it as uncharacterized. The record is from RefSeq and is a predicted model, not a curated record. NCBI's taxonomy places the organism in Eukaryota, Metazoa, Chordata, Actinopteri, Gadiformes, Gadidae. The transcript is spliced from 3 exons.